UACGUAGGCAGCAAGCGUUGUUCGGAAUUACUGGGCGUAAAGGGCUCGUAGGUGGCCAACUAAGUCAGACGUGAAAUCCCUCAGCUUAACUGGGGAACUGCGUCUGAUACUGGAUGGCUUGAGUUUGGGAGAGGGAUGCGGAAUUCCAGGUGUAGCGGUGAAAUGCGUAGAUAUCUGGAGGAACACCGGUGGCGAAGGCGGCAUCCUGGACCAACACUGACACUGAUGAGCGAAAGCCAGGGGAGCAAACGGG
RNAcentral lists this ribosomal RNA (253 nucleotides) under uncultured bacterium. Its description in RNAcentral is "partial 16S ribosomal RNA". It matches the Rfam family "Bacterial small subunit ribosomal RNA", at positions 524 to 776 of the family's 1533-position model. The record is from RNAcentral.